Molecule: ribosomal RNA, 918 nt
Filed under: uncultured bacterium
Lineage: Bacteria
Description: bacterial SSU rRNA
Rfam family: Bacterial small subunit ribosomal RNA
Source: RNAcentral
UCCCGAGCGUUNUCCGGAUUUAUUGGGCGUAAAGCGAGCGCAGGCGGUUAGAUAAGUNUGAAGUUAAAGGCUGUGGCUUANCCAUAGUACGCUUUGGAAACUGUUUAACUUGAGUGCAGAAGGGGAGAGUGGAAUUCCAUGUGUAGCGGUGAAAUGCGUAGAUAUAUGGAGGAACACCGGUGGCGAAAGCGGCUCUCUGGUCUGUAACUGACGCUGAGGCUCGAAAGCGUGGGGAGCGAACAGGAUUAGAUACCCUGGUAGUCCACGCCGUAAACGAUGAGUGCUAGGUGUUAGGCCCUUUCCGGGGCUUAGUGCCGCAGCUAACGCAUUAAGCACUCCGCCUGGGGAGUACGACCGCAAGGUUGAAACUCAAAGGAAUUGACGGGGGCCCGCACAAGCGGUGGAGCAUGUGGUUUAAUUCGAAGCAACGCGAAGAACCUUACCAGGUCUUGACAUCCCGAUGCCCGCUCUAGAGAUAGAGUUUUACUUCGGUACAUCGGUGACAGGUGGUGCAUGGUUGUCGUCAGCUCGUGUCGUGAGAUGUUGGGUUAAGUCCCGCAACGAGCGCAACCCUUAUUGUUAGUUGCCAUCAUUCAGUUGGGCACUCUAGCGAGACUGCCGGUAAUAAACCGGAGGAAGGUGGGGAUGACGUCAAAUCAUCAUGCCCCUUAUGACCUGGGCUACACACGUGCUACAAUGGCUGGUACAACGAGUCGCAAGUCGGUGACGGCAAGCUAAUCUCUUAAAGCCAGUCUCAGUUCGGAUUGUAGGCUGCAACUCGCCUACAUGAAGUCGGAAUCGCUAGUAAUCGCGGAUCAGCACGCCGCGGUGAAUACGUUCCCGGGCCUUGUACACACCGCCCGUCACACCACGAGAGUUUGUAACACCCGAAGUCGGUGAGGUAACCUUUUAGGAGCC